GAGUUAGAUAACUAUUAGAAAAAGCUUCUAACUUUACUCUAAAGCAGUGAAAAUCUGUUUAUAACUCU
This 68-nucleotide transfer RNA is filed under the name Curculionoidea sp. 2 KM-2017. Its description in RNAcentral is "tRNA-Ser". The record is from RNAcentral. Lineage: Eukaryota; Metazoa; Arthropoda; Insecta; Coleoptera.